Molecule: ribosomal RNA, 432 nt
Filed under: uncultured bacterium
Lineage: Bacteria
Description: partial 16S ribosomal RNA
Rfam family: Bacterial small subunit ribosomal RNA
Source: RNAcentral
ACGCACGCUGGCGGCAUGCCUCACACCUGCCAGUCGAACGCGACCUUCGGGUCUAGUGGCGCACGGGUGCGUAACGCGUGGGAACCUGCCCUUAGGUUCGGAAUAACUCCCCGAAAGGGGUGCUAAUACCGGAUAAUGUCUUCGGACCAAAGAUUUAUCGCCUUUGGAUGGGCCCGCGUUGGAUUAGCUAGUUGGUAGGGUAAAAGCCUACCAAGGCGACGAUCCAUAGCUGGUCUGAGAGGAUGAUCAGCCACACUGGGACUGAGACACGGCCCAGACUCCUACGGGAGGCAGCAGUGGGGAAUAUUGGACAAUGGGCGAAAGCCUGAUCCAGCAAUGCCGCGUGAGUGAUGAAGGCCUUAGGGUUGUAAAGCUCUUUUACCCGGGAUGAUAAUGACAGUACCGGGAGAAUAAGCUCCGGCUAACUCCGUG